CCAACGGUUUUUUUCAUUCAGCUAUAAAAAUAAAACGGAUGCAAUAAGAAUAAAAGUAUUAUUCAUACGAAUUCCGGUUUGGAAUUAACGCAACAGAAAAUGUGUCGUGCGUUAUUGGUUGUAUCGCUUCCCAAGAGGACUUCAAAUUGUUAAAUGAAACCUGAAGAAGAACAGCCUCUAGAUGGUAUGGUACCACAGCCUGAAGACUUUCACUGCUGGACAAAGGCUUCCGCCAAAGAUGGCCAUGACAAUCGGUCCUGAGCUGCCCUCAUCUAACAUAUUCCGGCGAUCUUUACCAGAUCGUCGGUCCAUCUUGUGGAGGCCUACCAACGUGGUCGUCAUUCGAGGACACUUCUGCCUCAACGACCAUCUGUCUGUCGAGCUAUGUGCCCUACCCACAGCCACUUCAGUUUUGUAAUGCAGUAUAUCUCAAGAGUGCGACGCGGAAUUGGAAUCCAUUUUCGACACGCCUCGGAAGUCUGCACUGUGGAAACAACUAGUCUAAUAAAUCUUGCUAAACGCAAACAACAAAUAACUAUAUUUACAAAUACUAUGACUUCAUAAAAUUAAAACUAUCAUUACGUGGAAGCGUACCAAGAAUACUGGCAGCAUUUCCGCGUUGGAUAGCUAGGCUGAUCCAUUGACCGAAAUAGCUGCCAGCGCUUGGGUUUCCAGUAGCCUUAUUAAGGCGCGAAGAUAGUACUUUGUACCUAUAUUCUCCGCGCCUCUGAGCCCAACGGGCCAAUUAUUGUUUUGAUUAAAUUUUUAAUUUAUA
Long non-coding RNA from Leptidea sinapis, 775 nucleotides. RefSeq lists it as uncharacterized. The transcript is spliced from 3 exons. The record is from RefSeq and is a predicted model, not a curated record. NCBI's taxonomy places the organism in Eukaryota, Metazoa, Arthropoda, Insecta, Lepidoptera, Pieridae.